GACGAACGCUGGCGGCGUGCUUAACACAUGCAAGUCGAACGGAAAGGCCCUGCUUUUGUGGGGUGCUCGAGUGGCGAACGGGUGAGUAACACGUGAGUAACCUGCCCUUGACUUUGGGAUAACUUCAGGAAACUGGGGCUAAUACCGGAUAGGAGCUCCUGCUGCAUGGUGGGGGUUGGAAAGUUUCGGCGGUUGGGGAUGGACUCGCGGCUUAUCAGCUUGUUGGUGGGGUAGUGGCUUACCAAGGCUUUGACGGGUAGCCGGCCUGAGAGGGUGACCGGCCACAUUGGGACUGAGGGACGGCCCAGACGCCUACGGGAGGCAGCAGUGGGGAAUAUUGCACAAUGGGCGGGAGCCUGAUGCAGCAACGCCGCGUGCGGGAUGACGGCCUUCGGGGUGUAAACCGCUUUCGCCUGUGACGAAGCGGGAGUGACGGUAAUGGGUAAAGAAGCACCGGCUAACUACGUG
Molecule: ribosomal RNA, 468 nt
Filed under: uncultured bacterium
Lineage: Bacteria
Description: partial 16S ribosomal RNA
Rfam family: Bacterial small subunit ribosomal RNA
Source: RNAcentral